Molecule: long non-coding RNA, 1760 nt
Filed under: Brassica napus (rape)
Lineage: Eukaryota; Viridiplantae; Streptophyta; Magnoliopsida; Brassicales; Brassicaceae
Description: long non-coding RNA (BNAP_LNC018964)
Source: RNAcentral
UAUAACUACUGUUUUGUUCUGUUCUGAUUUCUUGUUGUCGGGGCAAUGCAGGUCAUUUUCGUCGGAGGACGGUUAACUGGCGGCGGUUUCUCGGCAGGGGAGAAUCCAUUCACUCCAAAAGCAUCUCUGAUUCGUUACUGGAACAAAGAGAUCAGUGCCGACAAAUCUCUCAGAUCAGAGUUCCUAAUCUCCAAGGCGUCACCGCUUAACGCCGUAGACUCAGCCACUUUCGCCAAACUGGCCGCCCAAAACUCACUCCCAACCCGUCUCUCCGACUUCUGCUCCGCCGCGAACCUCUUCUGCUUCCCGGACCUGACCCCGAGCCUCGAGAAGCACGACGACAACGUCAAGUUCUCCGUCUACGACCAAAAAAACUUCAGCACCUACGGCGACGCACGUGCCGCCGGCGCCGACUCGUUCAAAACCUACUCAAAAGGCAACAACGGCGCCAUGGACACUUUCCGGAGAUACAGCCGCAACGCGGCGGGUCACGAAGAUAAGUUCACCGUCUACGGCGAGAGAGGCAACGUCGACGAGAAGGACUUCAACUCCUACGGAACCUUCGGAGCCGGCGGCGCCGGAGACUUCACCAACUACCAAAACGACGUUAACGACCCGAUGAGUCGAUUCACGGCGUAUUCCGACGGCGGAACCGGAAGGUCCCAGACUUUCAAAACCUACACGCACGACGCCAACGCCGGCAACGGCCAAUCGUUCACUAGCUACAGCAAAAAGGGAAACGCGUCGCCGAACGAGUUCGCCUCGUACGGCGACUCAUCCAACGUGAUCGGCUCUGAUUUCAAGAACUACGGCGAGGAAGAAAACGCCGCCAAAGAUACCUUCACCAGCUACGCGAGCGGCGGCAACGUACCGCUUAACAACUUCAAAAACUACGGCGAGUCCGUUAUAUUUAUACUAAGAUCAUACAACUAUACACAAUUAAUGUAACUAGUAAAUAAAUUAAGUUGAUAUAUUUUGAAUUUAAAUGUGUAAGUUUUUGGUGGUUGUCAAGAAAAUAUAAUGGGUGUAGGCUUUUUUCGGCUUCUCUCUAUAUAUAUACUACACAAUCUGCUCUCAAAAUUAACAAGCCCACCAAUCUCUUCUCUGCUUCACACUAAGAACCAAACAUGCUCAAACCGUUGCUUCUUCUCCAAUCCUUAUUCUUCUGUCUCUUCAAUGUAAGCAAACUCUUUGAAUCUUUAUAACUACUGUUUUGUUCUGUUCUGAUUUCUUGUUGUCGGGGCAAUGCAGGUCAUUUUCGUCGGAGGACGGUUAACUGGCGGCGGUUUCUCGGCAGGGGAGAAUCCAUUCACUCCAAAAGCAUCUCUGAUUCGUUACUGGAACAAAGAGAUCAGUGCCGACAAAUCUCUCAGAUCAGAGUUCCUAAUCUCCAAGGCGUCACCGCUUAACGCCGUAGACUCAGCCACUUUCGCCAAACUGGCCGCCCAAAACUCACUCCCAACCCGUCUCUCCGACUUCUGCUCCGCCGCGAACCUCUUCUGCUUCCCGGACCUGACCCCGAGCCUCGAGAAGCACGACGACAACGUCAAGUUCUCCGUCUACGACCAAAAAAACUUCAGCACCUACGGCGACGCACGUGCCGCCGGCGCCGACUCGUUCAAAACCUACUCAAAAGGCAACAACGGCGCCAUGGACACUUUCCGGAGAUACAGCCGCAACGCGGCGGGUCACGAAGAUAAGUUCACCGUCUACGGCGAGAGAGGCAACGUCGACGAGAAGGACUUCAACUCCUACGGAAC